Molecule: ribosomal RNA, 933 nt
Filed under: Pseudocercospora cyatheicola
Lineage: Eukaryota; Fungi; Ascomycota; Dothideomycetes; Mycosphaerellales; Mycosphaerellaceae
Description: eukaryotic LSU rRNA
Rfam family: Eukaryotic large subunit ribosomal RNA
Source: RNAcentral
GUUGACCUCGGAUCAGGUAGGGAUACCCGCUGAACUUAAGCAUAUCAAUAAGCGGAGGAAAAGAAACCAACAGGGAUUGCCCUAGUAACGGCGAGUGAAGCGGCAACAGCUCAAAUUUGAAAUCUGGCGCAAGCCCGAGUUGUAAUUUGUAGAGGAUGCUUCUGGGUAGCGGCCGGUCUAAGUUCCUUGGAACAGGACGUCAUAGAGGGUGAGAAUCCCGUAUGUGACUGGCUUGCACCCUCCACGUAGCUCCUUCGACGAGUCGAGUUGUUUGGGAAUGCAGCUCUAAAUGGGAGGUAAAUUUCUUCUAAAGCUAAAUACCGGCCAGAGACCGAUAGCGCACAAGUAGAGUGAUCGAAAGAUGAAAAGCACUUUGGAAAGAGAGUUAAAAAGCACGUGAAAUUGUUGAAAGGGAAGCGCCCGCAACCAGACUUUGCGGCAGUGUUCGGCCGGUCUUCUGACCGGUUUACUCGCUGUCGUGAGGCCAUCAUCGUCUGGGACCGCUGGAUAAGACCUUAGGAAUGUGGCUCCCCUCGGGGAGUGUUAUAGCCUCUGGUGAUGCAGCGCGUCUCGGGCGAGGUCCGCGCUUCGGCAAGGAUGAUGGCGUAAUGGUUGUCGGCGGCCCGUCUUGAAACACGGACCAAGGAGUCUAACAUCUAUGCGAGUGUUCGGGUGUCAAACCCCUACGCGUAAUGAAAGUGAACGGAGGUGGGAACUUUUUGUGCACCAUCGACCGAUCCUGAUGUCCUCGGAUGGAUUUGAGUAAGAGCAUAGCUGUUGGGACCCGAAAGAUGGUGAACUAUGCCUGAAUAGGGUGAAGCCAGAGGAAACUCUGGUGGAGGCUCGCAGCGGUUCUGACGUGCAAAUCGAUCGUCAAAUUUGGGUAUAGGGGCGAAAGACUAAUCGAACCAUCUAGUAGCUGGUUCCUGCCGA